UACAGAGGUCUCAAGCGUUGUUCGGAUUCAUUGGGCGUAAAGGGUGCGUAGGCGGCGCGGUAAGUCGGAUGUGAAAUCUCGGGGCUUGACUCCGAAACUGCAUUCGAUACUACCGUGCUUGAGGACUGGAGAGGAGACUGGAAUUUACGGUGUAGCGGUGAAAUGCGUAGAUAUCGUAAGGAAGACCAGUGGCGAAGGCGGGUCUCUGGACAGUUCCUGACGCUGAGGCACGAAGGCCAGGGGAGCAAACGGG
Molecule: ribosomal RNA, 253 nt
Filed under: uncultured bacterium
Lineage: Bacteria
Description: partial 16S ribosomal RNA
Rfam family: Bacterial small subunit ribosomal RNA
Source: RNAcentral